UGGGAUGUAGCUCAGUGUUAGAGCACCUGCCUAGCAUGCAUGAGGCCUGGGUUCCAUUUCCAGCAUCAUAA
Molecule: transfer RNA, 71 nt
Filed under: Fukomys damarensis (Damara mole-rat)
Lineage: Eukaryota; Metazoa; Chordata; Mammalia; Rodentia; Bathyergidae
Rfam family: tRNA
About the family: Transfer RNA (tRNA) molecules are approximately 80 nucleotides in length.
Source: Rfam by way of RNAcentral